UACGGAAGGCAGCAGUGGGGAAUAUUGGACAAUGGGCGAAAGCCUGAUCCAGCCAUGCCGCGUGUGUGAAGAAGGCCUUUUGGUUGUAAAGCACUUUAAGCGAGGAGGAGGCUACUUGGAUUAAUACUCUAGGAUAGUGGACGUUACUCGCAGAAUAAGCACCGGCUAACUCUGUGCCAGCAGCCGCGGUAAUACAGAGGGUGCGAGCGUUAAUCGGAUUUACUGGGCGUAAAGCGUGCGUAGGCGGCUUUUUUAAGUCGGAUGUGAAAUCCCUGAGCUUAACUUAGGAAUUGCAUUCGAUACUGGGAAGCUAGAGUAUGGGAGAGGAUGGUAGAAUUCCAGGUGUAGCGGUGAAAUGCGUAGAGAUCUGGAGGAAUACCGAUGGGCGAAGGGCAGCCAUCUGGGCCUAAUACUGACGCUGAGGUACGAAAGCAUGGGGAGGCAAACAGGGAUUAGAUACC
This 461-nucleotide ribosomal RNA is filed under the name uncultured bacterium. RNAcentral describes it as "bacterial SSU rRNA". It matches the Rfam family "Bacterial small subunit ribosomal RNA", at positions 340 to 786 of the family's 1533-position model. The record is from RNAcentral.